CAUUACACAGAGUAUCACUACUUCAGAAGAACCUGGAAGCACAACUUCAUAUAGAAAUCAAACAUUUCUUCUGAAUCACUUCAUCCAAACAACUCCCUAACACCGAACCUUCGAGAAGAUGGUGCUGAUAGAACAGGAGAAGACUGACGAUCCAAACGCGAAUCCAUCAAACGCUACUGCCGGCAACGACGCCUCCGACGGCUUCGAAACCGCCAGUGAGGCCGAUCUCGAUAGCGACGGUGAUGACGGCGGAGCUAGCAGCCGAGAAGAAUUGCAGCACAGUGAUCAACCGCAGCAGACGCCGAAGCGGACAGAGGGAGAACAGGAACAAGAUGUUCAUCAGCAAAGCAUUUCCUCCGAGGAGGCUUUGAUCAAUGAAGAUGAAUUGAGACAGAAAGCAUUGGAUGAAGCGAAUGAAGCAAAAGUAGAAGGUAACAAACUCUUUGUUGAUGGGAAGUAUGAGGAGGCAUUAUCUCAAUAUGACCAUGCCUUACAAGUUGCACUAGACGUUCCUUCAUUUGUGGAAAUACGCUCAAUAUGCUAUGCAAACCGUGCCGUGUGCUUUUUAAAACAGGGAAAAUAUGAAAAUACAAUUAAAGAAUGCACAAAAGCAUUGGAGCUGAAUCCUGCAUAUGUUAAAGCUUUGGUAAGAAGAGGAGAAGCUCAUGAAAAGCUUGAACAUUUUGAAGAGGCAAUUGCUGAUAUGAAAAAGAUCUUAGAAAUUGAUCCCUCAAAUGAUCAAGCUAGGAAAGCCAUCCGUCGACUAGAGCCCCUUGCUGCAGUCAAACGGGAAAAAAUGAAAGAAGAAAUGAUAGCAAAAUUGAAAGAAAUGGGCAAUUCUGUCUUGGGACGUUUUGGGAUGAGCGUUGACAACUUCAAAGCAGUCAAAGAUCCAAACACUGGUUCCUAUUCUAUCUCAAUGGAACGCUAAAUUUUGUCGAGCAGGGUCAUAAUAGCAGUAAGCAAGAAAGAGACUGUUUAAAAUGAUAAUGGUUUGAGACUUUUGUUGGCAUUAAGUCAUUAGAGAAUACAAAGGUUAGUAAUGUAUCUUCAAAAGGGCGUUUUGUGAUUGAUUCAUCAUGUCCAAGUGACCGAUACUUCCUGCUUACAGUUAAUGUGCUAUAUAGGUUUUAGAACAAAAGAAAUGUAUUCAUCAAAUUGAGAUAGUUCAUAUGAUUGCAUUGUCUAUUGAGAAAUGUGGGGAACACAUUCUUUGAUAGUUUUCUUAAGUCUUAACACUAUUGGGUAAAAACUCCAUCUAUUCCCACUAUUAGAGUGGUCUCGGGUUAUCUAAUGGGGGACCGACUUGGGAGAGAAGAUGUUGAACAGUGUGUUAAACAGUAUAGUGUGAUGUCCUUGAAGUCUCUCUAAAUUACCUUUCUUUUUCCUUUCUGAAAUGUGCACUUGUUUAAGAAGGUUCUUGGAAUUAAGUAGAAAGGAGUUGAACAUUGUUUGAUCGAUGUCAGAGUGUAUUAGUCAUGUGGAUAUUUGCUAUGGAAGCUGAUUUUGGAAUUUGUCAAAGUUUCGUUUUAGAUAGUACUUGCACAUGCAAUUUUUAUGUAUGCCACUUUUAAUACAGUAGUGUAAUCCAUCUGUUGCUGAUAAUGGCUGGUUAUUGUAAUGUUUUCAUGUUAUGAAGCUAUGUACAAUUUGUGGUUA
Molecule: RNA transcript, 1659 nt
Organism: Vicia villosa (hairy vetch)
Lineage: Eukaryota; Viridiplantae; Streptophyta; Magnoliopsida; Fabales; Fabaceae
Exons: 6
Source: RefSeq, a predicted model, not a curated record